GUUAGAGAAAAAUGAUUGUAAAUCAUUUAAUGAAUUUUCCUCUUUCA
RNAcentral lists this transfer RNA (47 nucleotides) under Leptotrombidium sp. TLMW-1. RNAcentral describes it as "tRNA-Tyr". Lineage: Eukaryota; Metazoa; Arthropoda; Arachnida; Trombidiformes; Trombiculidae. The record is from RNAcentral.